UAGACCUUGGAUCAGGAUGAAUGGUAGCUCAGAUGAAUGCAUUUGUGCCAUUUUUCUUGGCCCCAGACUAUGUUUCCUCACUACCAUGACAUCUGAACAGAAGGAGAAAACAUCUCCCUUUUGUAGCAGACUAAUUUAAUUUGUACCUUCCACCUAGGGAUGUCAAAGGCUUGUUGUUUCCGAGAAAAGAUGGUUUAAAAGAGAAGGCUUUGGGCUGUUUUACCCACAGAAGAUGUGCAUUCGUUUUAAAAUAAGGAAGAAAAAAAAUCUUGAAGCUUCUACAUGGACCUAUAUCCUUUCAAAUCCAUACUACAAGUCAUUGAUCUUUAUUUUUAGUUGAUCUUGGGUAUUAUUCGUAAAUUUACCUUGUUUAAUGUACAGAGUUGUCAACUAUUUUAAACAACCAACAAUACAUCUUUUCCUUACUAAAAUAGCAUUAAUACAUAACUCAAAAAUUAAAUAUAUUUAGGUGUUUGAUCUAGGCAUUGUAACAAUGUCUUAAGGUAUCUCAAAUAUCAGAACAAGGCUCAAACUAAAAUUAUGGCUAGUAAGAAAAACAGUCUAUUUAUUGAAAAAAAAGGCUUAAAUAAAGGAGUUUCUUUUUCCAGUAAAUGGACAUCAAAAUUCAUUGUUUAUUUAAUUCUUGUAAUAGUUUUUAAUGCACUUGAAGGAAAAAUGACUUCUUUUUCUUAUGGUUGUAAGUACACAUUCUAUUUAAAUUUUCUCUCAUAGUACUUAUAUCUCUACAUCCUAUUUAAUAUUUAGAGUUCUGUGACAAUUCGACAUUAUAAGAUAUAAGAUUUAUCCUUGAUAUUAUAUCAUGGAACAAUUUGAUGUUUAAAAAAGAAAAUAAUUUGUUAACAUUAUUUUAUUGCUUCAUAUUCAAUGUAAAAACCUAUCUGGGAAUAAUACUAAACAGAGCAAUCUUAUUUUUUGGUUCUAUAUAAUAAUAGUUGCUUUUCUGUGCAUAUACUUAAAUAUUAAUAUGAAUUAUAUAAUACUAAUGAUACCACUGCAUUAAUUGAACUUGAAUUCUGAACUAUAUGAAGUUAGUUCACAAGAUAAAGAAGCAUAUUAAAUGAUUUUAUUUUAUUGACCAAACAUUUAAACUUUCUUAGAUUCAAAAUAUUUAAGUAUCUUUAUAUAAAACUACAUAUUAAAAAUCAUGGAGAGAUAAGGCUUUUCCUAAAGAAGAAUUAAUGGAAAAGAAUAUUACAGUUGGGUAUAAGAAUUUGACAUUGUCUUGAGUAAGUCUCAGUUUUGUACUUCAGAUCCAGGUUUCUUCUAAAUAUGUCAAAUAAUUUGCUAGAAUGAUCACUAAACAGAUUCAUUCCUAAUAAAUAAGUUUCCAUAAGGGAGCAAACUCUAUUUCAUGUGAUUUAAGUAAAAAUUUAAGCAUUUGAUUUGUUUCUAGGAAAAUUUUUAUGUUUUCAAUACAAAUGCCUACAUCAGGAGAAAAGCACCUAGUGUAAUAAUGUGGUAUUUCCAACUUAAUCCAAAUGCACAUUCAAGCUAGCCCUAGUCCAUUAGAAUCUAAACAUGAGGUUGGCGGAAGAUUUCUGCAUAUGGCCAGAUAAUCAAUAUUUUAGACUUUAUGGGCCACGUAUGGUCUCUGUCACAUAUCCCUCUUUGUUUUGUUUUAUAACUCUUUAAAAAUUUAAAAACCAUCCUUAGUUUGAGGGCCAUUCAAAAACAGACCACAGGCUGAAUUUAGAUUGCUGGUUGCCUAGUUUGUCAACCCUUAGUUUAGGCUUUUAAGGCCUUGUUUAAUGGAGCAAAACAUCUGCUAUACUCACAUAUCAUUAUACAGAAGCUCAUUUCAAGCUUAAGGUUUCUUUCUUGGUUUAUUUUAUAUUAUGCUAUGAGUCAUACAAAAUUACCUGACCUAUAAAAUAAUCUGAUCUAUCUAUAUAGAUACUAUAAUUGGUGGACUUAAAAAAAACAAAUUUCAGUACUUAUGCAUAACAACCCAACAUCACUCAAACUAUUACACACACACACACACACACACACACACACACAGAUACACACACACACAUCUUUCUGUACAUGAUAUUUUUUUAUUGGAAAAUGAAUUUUGCUGCUGUUGGGGUAAUAAUGGUGGAGGAGGGGGCUGGGUGUCUUUCACAGAGGAUUACCUUUUCCAUGUUGCUACAAAGUGAAAGAGACUAUGUAAACCAUUGGAGAUAUUUAGUGCAUUUUAAGAUAAAAUCCCAUAUUCUUUUAAUUAUAAAUAAACACAAUAUUUAGAAGAACUUAGGAUAUUUUGCCAUAAUUAUUUUUAACAUAUCAGUAAAAUAUUAUUUUUUUUAAUCUUCAGACUAAUAUGAUAAGCAUUGCCUCUGACAUAUCUCUGUAUGGGUGGCUUUCUUUAAAUAAAAACAUUUUGACAAAGUAAAGAUUAUCUAUAAAAUACCAAAACAUAUCAUUCAGCUUACCUUCCCCACCAUUAUUGUCAACACAGUGUAUGUUUCACAACUGUGCUUUUGGGCCAGAUUUCCUUCAGAUCUGCAGAGCUGUGAUCUUCAUUGCAUUGCCUGUCCCUCGCAGGUUCUGUGCUUGCUGGGCUCACACCAUGCUCUCUCCCAGUGUCUGGAGAUGGAUGCUCAGUGAGCAAGUGCUGAAUGUGAAAUAGACACAGUGUGGUGAAGGGAAGAGAAUUUUGCCUUUAGGCAGGUUGCUAUUUUAAAUGCAGUGCCAAAGAUAUUAUUUCAUUUUACAGCAAUACUUAAGCUCUAACAUUUUAUCUUAAAACAAAAGAGAGCAUGGUCUGAUGGCCAGAGGGUUGAGCCCUACCAACAGCAGCAAUUUGAAGAUUAUUCAGACUCUGCCAGAGGCAGCUGGGAAAGGAAGGAUAUGAAUCUAAUGGGGAGUCUUUACCUUAAAGUAUUAUAAGACCCAUUGAGCAGCAGGCAAAAAAACCUGUAGGGAUGCAUAUUUAGUUGGUGUUUUAUUGAGUAUCUUUAUUUUUUUCACCAAAGGUUAUUUUGUACCUACCAUAUAUAUGGCAGGGAUUGCAUUUGGCCUCAGGGAUAUCAAAAUGAAAAAGACUGUUCUUGCCCUCAGGUAUCUCAGAAUCUUCUUCUUUUCAUUGUUUUUUAGUAAAAUAUCUUUUAAAAUCAUAUCUCUAUAAGUGAUCCAUGAUCCUAAAUUAUAUGAUAAAUUUUAAGUCUUCUAAAUAUCAUGAUUUUGCAAAUAAUAGAACUUAGUAUACUUUUUUUGGUAAUCAUAGUGAACUUGAUUAGAUAGCAUAGGAGUGGAAAGAUCCACUUAUCUAUAUGAAACAUUCUCUGUGUGUACAUUCCUGUGUGGCCCAUUCAAUAGAGAGACCCAUAGCUUUCUUCUUUGCCUCAGAAUUCCUUGAUCCAAGAGGGAUUAAUAAACACUGAAUUAGAUUAUAUAUUUCUUAAAGGCAGGGACUCUCUUACAAAAAAAAAAUAGAAUGCCAAUUUACUUAUGUACCAGUUGACCAAAGUUUUGAGUUCAUAGUUGGCCACAUUCUUGCACUGUAGGUAUUACCAGCCAAGGCAUUAAAAUUAUAAACAUCCUCUAUAAACUUUUAUGUCCAAGCAAUCUCUUUCCAAGUCUUAAUGAUUUAGAUAAGAUUUCUGAUGUUUUGUAGGAUUAUCUCAAAUUGUAUUUUACUAACAAAAGUGGGAAAAUGGUAUCAGACUAAUUAUGUUGAAGGGUGAUCAUUUUUGAAUGCUCAAGAUGUAUUUAUGAGAAUGCUAUUAAAUUAAAACCUUCACUAUUCAUUAUAAACAUUUAACAUAAGACAGAGGGUAUUUUCACCCAUGAGUGCUUUUUAAAAAUAAUGCUUUGAGCUCAGUAUACAUUGGAAAGCAAGACUGCAAGCCCUCUCACUGAAGAGUAAGAUCUGAGGGGAAUAUUUUUGCAUACUCAGUAUCCAGCACUGUAUUUAUCAUACAGUGGGAACAAAGUAAAAUUCUUUUGACUUAUUGAAUAACAGAAUGAAUGAAGAUGUUCUGACUAAAGAAAAAAAUUGGAUGGAGUGUAUGGGUGAAUUUUAAGUUCCUAGAGUGAAAUUUGGAUAUUCAUUUUAAGGGGAAUACAUAUUCUGGAGUUUUUAUCUUUAAAAAUUCUACUCAUACAUUAAGAUAAAACAAGGGAAAAAAACCAAAUGGAAAUGAAACAAAAAAA
This is a non-coding RNA of Ictidomys tridecemlineatus (thirteen-lined ground squirrel), 4161 nucleotides long. The record is from RefSeq and is a predicted model, not a curated record. NCBI's taxonomy places the organism in Eukaryota, Metazoa, Chordata, Mammalia, Rodentia, Sciuridae.